GCUUGAGCCGGUCGACGACAACGUUUUUUGAAUUGACUGUAUGUCAUUUCAAGAUCUAAGAAUAGCUAUAAUAACUGCAGCUUCUUAUUCUUAUUUUCGUCAAGAACAUGGAGAUACUUUCCCAUCAUGGUUGCUAUCCAUCUCUUUUAACAUUACUCUGAAAUCGUAACCAAGAAAAUAUGAGCACCAUUUACUAAAAAUUGCUCCCAGAAAUAUAAUUUUCAAGAAUAAAUUCAUCACAGCUGUGGGAUCCCUGUGGACGUACAGACGUUCUUUCGACAAACAGGAAAGUUUUCUUUCAAUUCAUAGCUAUUCAUACUUAUUUUUAGUUUGACAGCCAGUUUGAAGUAAUUAAACUUUGAUUUUUUUCAAGCCAAUCACGAUUAAAGACGUGUAUAAAUGUCAUAAAAAAUAAAGUGUUUUAUAAAGAGAAAUUAUUUGGUGAGAAACGGAAAUCUGCACUGACUUCAUUGCAAUGGGACAAAGGAAAACACUAUUCAAAACCAGUUCUGUUUCUAAUAAAAUCCUUUAAAAAAGCAUAAAAGUAUGAAAGCUCAACCAGUAUUUUCAAAUCCAUAAACUAUCGACAAGUCUGAAAUU
This is a long non-coding RNA of Actinia tenebrosa (Australian red waratah sea anemone), 600 nucleotides long. RefSeq lists it as uncharacterized. Lineage: Eukaryota; Metazoa; Cnidaria; Anthozoa; Actiniaria; Actiniidae. The record is from RefSeq and is a predicted model, not a curated record.